CUUUCCAGCAGCAGUGCCGUGGAACAGUAUUCGACGCAUGUAUCGAUGAAAUAUAUCAAUGUUGUAAUGGUCUUUUGUACAGUAUUAAAUGGUUGGUUGUUCUCCUGACAGUCUAGGAAACGCUGAAGGCUACAGACUGAAAACUAUCCCUGAUGAUACUUCAUAAAGAAGAAUCUUCUGCGAUAUCAGGAGAAGAUUGCUCAAGUCAUAGCAGUGCUUAAAUCGUAUUUGCUGGGAAAAGGUCAAUAUUUUUAAAAAGCGCCAAAAGCAGUGCUUCUGAUGAGUGUGAUGUGGUAUUCAUUCAGUCACACCGCCUUCAACGAAAAACGUCCGCUUUCUAUUCACGCAGCUAAAAAAAACGUUCGACCAUUGAUUUUCAAAAAGGGAAAAGGAAGAAUGAAAGAAAAGAAAAAAAAUGUAUUAUCUUCAGAAAUCAGUUCUGAUAGCAGGUAUUGUGUAGUAAAAAGGUCCUAUGAUUAAACUUUCUGUCUUGUGA
This 496-nucleotide long non-coding RNA is filed under the name Stegodyphus dumicola. Its description in RNAcentral is "uncharacterized LOC118182257, transcript variant X1". Lineage: Eukaryota; Metazoa; Arthropoda; Arachnida; Araneae; Eresidae. The record is from RNAcentral.